This 401-nucleotide long non-coding RNA is filed under the name Citrus maxima (pomelo). RNAcentral's name for it is "long non-coding RNA (CMAX_LNC001146)". Lineage: Eukaryota; Viridiplantae; Streptophyta; Magnoliopsida; Sapindales; Rutaceae. The record is from RNAcentral.
GACAUCAUAGCACAAUUCAUGAUUGGGUAUGUUCUACCAGGAAAACCAAUUGCAAAUCUGCUUUUCAAGAUUUACGGACGAAUCAGUACCAUCCAUGCUCUAUCUUUCUUAUCUGACCUUAAACUUGGGCACUACAUGAAAAUUCCUCCACGGUGCAUGUACACUGCUCAGGUUCUUGUAGCUCAAAAAUCUUGCAUCUUCUUGGUUUUGCUAACUUAUCGACAAAAAGAAUAAUUUUGCUUUCUCUUUUCUCAGCUGGUUGGUACUAUAGUGUCUGGUGUGGUGAACCUUGGAGUGGCAUGGUGGAUGUUGGAGAGCAUUGAGAACAUUUGUGACGUCGAAUCACUUCAUCCCGACAGCCAAUGGACUUGCCCCAAGUACAGAGUAACAUUUGAUGCUUC